CUCCAAAGUGUUGAGUUCAGUUCAGGGCAGCUUCCCUGUUCUGUUAAUUAAACUUUGGGACAUUGAAAUUGGCUGGGGGAAAUUACUGAAUAGAGAGUAUUAAUUACUCUAUUCAUAUACUUCGAGCCUACACAA
Molecule: small nucleolar RNA, 135 nt
Filed under: Mus pahari (shrew mouse)
Lineage: Eukaryota; Metazoa; Chordata; Mammalia; Rodentia; Muridae
Source: RNAcentral